AAUGCACCAAUUUGUAAGUCGCUCUGGAUAAGAGCAUCUGCUAAAUUGCUUAAA
Non-coding RNA from Salmo salar (Atlantic salmon), 54 nucleotides. NCBI's taxonomy places the organism in Eukaryota, Metazoa, Chordata, Actinopteri, Salmoniformes, Salmonidae. The record is from Rfam.